UGUUUAACUGACAUGAUUGUGGGACGUCCUACCGGUGGAUUUAGCCUCUUUCUUUUCCGAGGGAGAGGCGGUCCAGCUAAUAUCCCAUCGCGGUGCUUUUCAUCGAGUGUCGAGGUGGGCCGGUACGUUUACUUUGAACAAAUUAGAGUGCUCAAAGCAGGCCAUCCUCGCCUGAAUACUGUGUGCAUGGAAUAAUGGAAUAGGAAACCUCACCAGGCCCGGACACCGGAAGGAUUGACAGAUUGAUAGCUCUUUCUUGAUUCGGUGGGUGGUGGUGCAUGGCCGUUCUUAGUUGGUGGAGCGAUUUGUCUGGUUAAUUCCGAUAACGAACGAGACUCUAGCCUGCUAAAUAGGCGUUACUUCUGGUAUCUCGAAGGCCCUCGGCUUCAGUCGAGCGGUUUUUACUACCGACGUACUAACAAAUCUUCUUAGAGGGACAGGCGGCGUCUAGCCGCACGAGAUUGAGCAAUAACAGGUCUGUAAUGCCCUUAGAUGUUCUGGGCCGCACGCGCGCUACACUGAAGGAAUCAGCGUGUCCUCCCUGACCGAAAGGUCCGGGUAACCCGCUGAACCUCCUUCGUGCUAGGGAUUGGGGCUUGCAAUUAUUCCCCAUGAACGAGGAAUUCCCAGUAAGCGCGAGUCAUAAGCUCGCGUUGAUUACGUCCCUGCCCUUUGUACACACCGCCCGUCGCUACUACCGAUUGAAUGAUUUAGUGAGGUCUUCGGACUGGUGCGCGGUAAUGUAAUUCUUACGUUGCCGAUUGCGCCGGGAAGAUGACCAAACUUGAUCAUUUAGAGGAAGUAAAAGUCGUAACAAGGUUUCCGUAGGUGA
This 832-nucleotide ribosomal RNA is filed under the name Orasema simulatrix. RNAcentral describes it as "bacterial SSU rRNA". It matches the Rfam family "Eukaryotic small subunit ribosomal RNA", at positions 1192 to 1812 of the family's 1831-position model. Lineage: Eukaryota; Metazoa; Arthropoda; Insecta; Hymenoptera; Eucharitidae. The record is from RNAcentral.